ACGAACGCUGGCGGCGUGCUUAACACAUGCAAGUCGAACGGAAAGGCCCUGCUUUUGUGGGGUGCUCGAGUGGCGAACGGGUGAGUAACACGUGAGUAACCUGCCCUUGACUUUGGGAUAACUUCAGGAAACUGGGGCUAAUACCGGAUAGGAGCUCCUGCUGCAUGGUGGGGGUUGGAAAGUUUCGGCGGUUGGGGAUGGACUCGCGGCUUAUCAGCUUGUUGGUGGGGUAGUGGCUUACCAAGGCUUUGACGGGUAGCCGGCCUGAGAGGGUGACCGGCCACAUUGGGACUGAGAUACGGCCCAGACUCCUACGGGAGGCAGCAGUGGGGAAUAUUGCACAAUGGGCGGAAGCCUGAUGCAGCAACGCCGCGUGCGGGAUGACGGCCUUCGGGUUGUAAACCGCGUUCGCCUGUGACGAAGCGUGAGUGACGGUAAUGGGUAAAGAAGCACCGGCUAACUACGUG
Molecule: ribosomal RNA, 467 nt
Filed under: uncultured bacterium
Lineage: Bacteria
Description: partial 16S ribosomal RNA
Rfam family: Bacterial small subunit ribosomal RNA
Source: RNAcentral